AGGGAGUAACAAAUCCAGAACAUCUUGCACUGCAACUGCCUGUGUUUCUCGAGCUUUGGAGGCGAUGAGUGGCUUGAGAGUUUAGAAUUGAGACGCGAACAAGGUAGCGGAUCAAUGCUCCUCUGAAGUCCACUGAUGCGACGCCGGCGGAAAUCGCGCGUCAGAUGUAGGCGACGGCGCAAGCGGCGGCGCUCUUCUGCCGUGUGCAGGCGGCGCCCACCCCGAUAGUCCCGGUGGUGUGCCAAGCGAACCUCGGAGUCACGAUGCCCACCUUGUGCUCGAGGUAGUUACCCGGUUGUGACAUCGACACGCCGGCGUUCACCCUUGCGCCAACAUUGUCCUUAUCCACAAUCAGUGCUGGGCGAAGCCUUCCAUUUCGUCGAUCACGUCACCCUCGCAGUGUCGACGCCCACCACCUGCUCGAUGUUUUGUCCUGACCGCAACGACGGCGGAGUUUACCCAGUGGUCGUGGCCCUUGUCCCAAGAGGCGCAUCACCAUCAGUCAUUGCAGCACUGGAGCCCAUGUCGGCAUUGCCGAUCCAGCUGCUCGCUGCUCUCGAGUUUGACACGCCGGCGCUCACCAGGUGCUCGAUGGAAUGCUUAGACAAUGAUGCCAGCAAGAAUGUCUCUAUGUUAAAACUGGGUGGGCUUCCUCCAACCGCUGUGACGUCAUCGUGUACAGGCUGUUCAAUGAAAAUGCAGUGGCAACCGUGUCCUCCACCUCACAAGCAUGGACCGAGGACAAGGGGGGAAUCUCAGGCCAAGGCCAUGGCCGUCCUCUGGGUUUAUUCAAUAGGAGGUCAACAUGAAGCUACCGUGGCCAUCAUCUUCAAAAAAAUUUGAUGCACUUAAGAUGUUCAAGCAACAGGUAUUUGGUCAGAGCCACCGAGCUUCAAUGACGAUGGCCACGGCUCCCCUCCUCCAACAUGGAAGGGGGCCUGCCAAUCUGACAAGUCCUUGAGCCACAACAGUUGCAACAACAAGAUCGUUGUUGCACACUGGUAUGCCAAUGUUGUCAACGAACCCAAUUAGAAGGUGAGUUCUUGUCUCCCGGAGAUCUGAAUGGCCAUGGCACCCAUGUGACCUCGACAGCAGCAGGGAAUGCUGUCUGCAACAUCAGCUUCCAUGGGCUGCGACCGGUGUUGCACCCAGUGAUGUGCCAAGAGCCCGCAUCGCCAUGUGUACAAGGCUUGCUGGAGCAUUAAAGCACCACAGGACGAUGCUACACACAGCGAGGCAGCAGUCAUGCAAGCAAUAGAUUAUGUCAUCCAGGAUGGACUCGACAUCUUAUCCCUGUCCAUAGUCAGUCUGUUGGGGCACCUCCCUUAGUUUCAGGCAGUGCGGUGGUGAAGGGCAACCGGUGGUCUAGUUUGCUGGGAAUUCUGGACUGUAUGCCCAGAUGGUGGGCAAUGCGCCUCCGUGGCUGUUUACAGGUGCAGCAUCAACGAGGAUAGGCUGUUCCCUACUGCUAUCACUCUUGGAUAUGGCCAGACACUUGUGGGACAAUCCUAAUUUGCCAAUAUGGAAAGAGCAAAUCAGUUUCACAAGAUCAAGCUCCACCUGACUAGCAUGUAUGUGAAUACAUGCAUUUUCAGUUUGUCUCCUGUACUUCUGUAUUUGGUGUUGCUGCUUCAGAAGCCAUAGCCCAUAGUACCAGUCAGAAUCUGGUAGCAAUGGUUUCUUUGACUUACACAUCAACUGGAAGUAGAUUUCCUGCGCCCAAAUAGCAGCUUUCUCAUCUAGGGGUCCAAGCUCCGUCUACCCUGCAGUGCUUAAGGUAUAUACUGUGAAAUUACAUUUUUUGGGCACAAUAAAUCAUUUAUACAUGUUCCACUAAAUUUUAUUUAUUUGGGACGACUCAGAACAAUUGAUAUGUAUCUCUUUAAUAUGUCAAGUUUGUUAAGGGUAUGUGAUAGUGGCGCCUAAAUGUGGUGACACCCAUCGUGUGAGGAUGGCACCCGAGUGUGUGAGGGUGGUGUCUGAAUAUGUAAGCGUAGGUAUCCAAAAUAUGAUGAUAGUAUCCAAAUUGUUGUGAGUGUGUUAAGAGUAUUUGUGGUAUUCCACACUAGUUUAGUUAGGACUAGUCUUCUCUUGUACUCCCUCCGUCCCAUAUUAAGUGACUCAAAUUUGUCCAAAUAUGGAUGUAUCUAUACCUAAUAAGCAUCUAGAUACAUGUAAUAUUUCAUCACUUAAUAUGGGCCGGAGGGAGUAGUAUAUAUAUAGCCCUUUGGGCCUCAAGUCAAUACAAGAAAAUCAUUUGUCCCUCUCUCCAAAGUUAACAUGGUAUGAGAGCGUCGGGUUCUCUCCUAGCGCCACCUCCCUCGUCACCGCUGCGCAGCCCCCGGGAGAGCAAUCUCCACUCCCGGGGGCCGCAUCAAUCUUCUCAUCGUCGUCUUGGUCAUGUUGACCUUUUCUUCGUCCUCGUUUUAUUCUUGGAAUGGGCUUCUCCAUCUCCAUUUGUAGCAGCAGCCACGAUCUUCAAUCGGCCUCUUCGCAGUGGACGGAUCUGGCCUUCUACAUCAACAUCUUGGCUGGAUCGAUCGCCACUGGCUUGUCUUCGCCUUCCUCCGUCGCAUCGGCUCAUGAGUGCAGCUCAGAUUCUUCUUUGGCCGGAUCCAGCCUCUACAUCACCAUCCUGGCCGGAUCCGUCGCCACCAGCUCAUCUCCAUUCGUCCUCCUCGCCACCGAUUUGCUGCUUGGGUGAGGGUGGCACCUGAAUGUGUGAGGAUGAAACCCGUCGUGUGAGGAUGGCACCCGAGUGUGUGAGGGUGGUGUCCGAAUAUGUAAGGGUAGGUACCCGAAACUAUGAGGGCUUUCACACACUUCACUCCAAACAGCCUGACAUCGCGGCACCAGGGCUGAACAUUCUAGCAGGAGCACCACAGGUCGGUAUUUUACAAGGAAAUGGGGUUGUCUUACUUCUUCGAUUCAGGGACAUCGAUGUCAUGCCCACAUAUAUCAGGCAUUAUGGCCGUGCUCAAGUCAAUCCAUCUAGACUGGUCACCUGCUGCUCUAAAAUCGACACUGAUGACUACAGGUACGUAUAGAAUAAAUGACACUGUUAGGAUCACGAAGUCCUUUCAUAUACUGCAUGUCUUCAUAGUAGAACAAAGUGAUCAACAACAUAUGUGCACGAUGCAACUUAUUUUUAAACGAAACUAAGAUGGUUUACAGCAUAUAUUACGGGCACCAACGAGUCUCCGUUACUAGCCGGCGUAACCCCAAAUAAAGUUGCAGAUCCUUUUGAUUAUGGAGCUGGAUUUGUUAAUCCGACCCAGGCAAGCGGUCCUGGACUUAUAUACGAUAAUAUCGAUGCUUCUGAUUACCAAAUGCGAUUCAGCUGCUUGGUUACAGCAGAUACAAAUGGUUCCUUUGUUUGACUUGAAUCUGCCAUCAAUAGCAAUCCCCAAUCUCAAGUCAUUGGUGUCGAUAUCACGGGCAGUCACCACUCACCAACGACAUAGGCCAACCUGAUGCAGUGAACAAAGCAUUUGUCGAGCCUCUUGCUGGCAUUGAUAUGCGCGUUGAACCCAUGAUGCUGGUGUUUGGCAAGGAUACAAGAUUGGUAGAAGUUAUUCAAAGAACAAUCUGUGUUGCAAUUGACGGCCCAAAGUGUCAAAGUAGAACAAAUACCAUCUGGCACGAGAGCUCGCUUGGCAAACUUGAUUAUUAUAUUUAAUAAGAAGGACAUGGCAUCACCCACUUCUUUGCGAUGAGAUGAACUUAUUGAAUAUGUUUGUACAAAUUGUAGAGGACUGUAAGGUAAACAUCAUCCUCGUGUAACUGAAACC
Molecule: RNA transcript, 3791 nt
Organism: Brachypodium distachyon (stiff brome)
Lineage: Eukaryota; Viridiplantae; Streptophyta; Magnoliopsida; Poales; Poaceae
Exons: 6
Source: RefSeq, a predicted model, not a curated record